AUUAUUUCGCAGGCAGGUUAAUGCAGUUUAAAAAAAAAUAGCAAUGAUUUUCGGUGUUUGCAUCGCAAUCUAAAUCUGACGUCAUUUUCCUAACUAUUCGACACGUGAUUGGCUAGAACGUUUCGUCGACGUCAAAAUUGAGCUUGUCACCAACAGCUGAUCGGGCACCUUGUUAUGAUAGAAGUCAGUGUCUUCAGUUCGACAACAACACGUUAAUAUAGAUGUGGGUUGCUUAUAUUUUG
RNAcentral lists this long non-coding RNA (242 nucleotides) under Mytilus galloprovincialis (Mediterranean mussel). The record is from RNAcentral. Lineage: Eukaryota; Metazoa; Mollusca; Bivalvia; Mytilida; Mytilidae.